Molecule: ribosomal RNA, 577 nt
Filed under: [Candida] sp. BG02-7-13-013A-1-1-2
Lineage: Eukaryota; Fungi; Ascomycota; Saccharomycetes; Saccharomycetales
Also listed under: 1 other name
Description: eukaryotic LSU rRNA
Rfam family: Eukaryotic large subunit ribosomal RNA
Source: RNAcentral
AUAUCAAUAAGCGGAGGAAAAGAAACCAACAGGGAUUGCCUCAGUAACGGCGAGCGAAGCGGCAAAAGCUCAAAUUUGAAAGCUAGCGUCUUUUAGGCGUUCGCAUUGUAAUUUGAAGAUGGCAACUUUGGUGGCGGCUCUUGCACAUGUUCCUUGGAACAGGACAUCAUAGAGGGUGAGAAUCCCGUACAUGGUGGGAGUACCGUUGCUUUGUAAAGUGCUUUCUAAGAGUCGAGUUGUUUGGGAAUGCAGCUCUAAGUGGGUGGUAAAUUCCAUCUAAGGCUAAAUAUAGGCGAGAGACCGAUAGCGAACAAGUACAGUGAUGGAAAGAUGAAAAGAACUUUGAAAAGAGAGUGAAAUAGUACGUGAAAUUGUUGAAAGGGAAGGGCUUGAGAUCAGUCUUGGCUUGUAGUGAUCAACUGUGUUUCGGCACUGUGCACUCGCUACUUGCUGGGUCAGCAUCAGUUUUGGUGGUAGGAUAAGAACAGUUGAAUGUGGCUUUUCUUCGGGAAAGUGUUAUAGCUUCUGUUGAUACUGCCAACCGGGACUGAGGACCGCGCUUCGUGCUAGGAUGCUG